This 1492-nucleotide ribosomal RNA is filed under the name uncultured bacterium. RNAcentral's name for it is "bacterial SSU rRNA". It matches the Rfam family "Bacterial small subunit ribosomal RNA". The record is from RNAcentral.
AGAGUUUGAUCCUGGCUCAGAUUGAACGCUGGCGGCAUGCCUUACACAUGCAAGUCGAACGGCAGCACGGGGGCAACCCUGGUGGCGAGUGGCGAACGGGUGAGUAACAUAUCGGAACGUGCCCUGGAGUGGGGGAUAACUAGUCGAAAGAUUAGCUAAUACCGCAUACGAUCUACGGAUGAAAGUGGGGGAUCGCAAGACCUCAUGCUCGUGGAGCGGCCGAUAUCUGAUUAGCUAGUUGGUGGGGUAAAGGCCUACCAAGGCAUCGAUCAGUAGCUGGUCUGAGAGGACGACCAGCCACACUGGGACUGAGACACGGCCCAGACUCCUACGGGAGGCAGCAGUGGGGAAUUUUGGACAAUGGGCGCAAGCCUGAUCCAGCAAUGCCGCGUGAGUGAAGAAGGCCUUCGGGUUGUAAAGCUCUUUUGUCAGGGAAGAAACGGUGAGGGCUAAUAUCCCUUGCUAAUGACGGUACCUGAAGAAUAAGCACCGGCUAACUACGUGCCAGCAGCCGCGGUAAUACGUAGGGUGCAAGCGUUAAUCGGAAUUACUGGGCGUAAAGCGUGCGCAGGCGGUUGUGCAAGACCGAUGUGAAAUCCCCGGGCUUAACCUGGGAAUGGCAUUGGUGACUGCACGGCUAGAGUGUGUCAGAGGGGGGUAGAAUUCCACGUGUAGCAGUGAAAUGCGUAGAGAUGUGGAGGAAUACCGAUGGCGAAGGCAGCCCCCUGGGAUAACACUGACGCUCAUGCACGAAAGCGUGGGGAGCAAACAGGAUUAGAUACCCUGGUAGUCCACGCCCUAAACGAUGUCAACUAGUUGUCGGGUCUUAAUUGACUUGGUAACGCAGCUAACGCGUGAAGUUGACCGCCUGGGGAGUACGGUCGCAAGAUUAAAACUCAAAGGAAUUGACGGGGACCCGCACAAGCGGUGGAUGAUGUGGAUUAAUUCGAUGCAACGCGAAAAACCUUACCUACCCUUGACAUGGCAGGAAUCCCGGAGAGAUUCGGGAGUGCUCGAAAGAGAACCUGCACACAGGUGCUGCAUGGCUGUCGUCAGCUCGUGUCGUGAGAUGUUGGGUUAAGUCCCGCAACGAGCGCAACCCUUGUCAUUAGUUGCUACGAAAGGGCACUCUAAUGAGACUGCCGGUGACAAACCGGAGGAAGGUGGGGAUGACGUCAAGUCCUCAUGGCCCUUAUGGGUAGGGCCUCACACGUCAUACAAUGGUACAUACAGAGGGCCGCCAACCCGCGAGGGGGAGCUAAUCCCAGAAAGUGUAUCGUAGUCCGGAUUGCAGUCUGCAACUCGACUGCAUGAAGUUGGAAUCGCUAGUAAUCGCGGAUCAGCAUGUCGCGGUGAAUACGUUCCCGGGUCUUGUACACACCGCCCGUCACACCAUGGGAGCGGGUUUUACCAGAAGUAGGUAGCUUAACCGCAAGGAGGGCGCUUACCACGGUAGGAUUCGUGACUGGGGUGAAGUCGUAACAAGGUAACC